UUUCAUUUGUUUUAGUGACAAGACUUUGUCAGGCUAAGUAUGGCUGUCCAAUGGCGGGAGGGGAGGCAAAUAAUGUCUGCCAGUGGUAACCAGGAAAAAAAAUCAUUGUGGGAUAUUCAGUAACAGCAAUGUUUAAGAUAGGAUACGCAGACGUAAAGAAGAGAUUCCACGUAUUUAUUAAUGAAGCUGUCAAACUGUGCACACCUCCAUUGCCCUGAGAAUCUCUUUAGGGUAAUGUGUAUACAGCCGUGUCAGGUCAUGCACCCCACCUAGCAGAUCGCCCUGACCUAUUAAGCCCCUGCACUAUUGCAAACAAGGGCCAUGAGGUGGUGGAGAGACUCAGACCAGCUGUUAAGAAGGUGUGAAUGCUCUGGGGUGGUGCCAAAGUUGACCACUCCCUCCAGCCUGUCCAUGCGAGCCACCACAGUGCCUGACACUACCAGCUGACACAGGAACUCUUCACUCUCCUGAAAUAACACAUGUUUUUUUUUAAAUGUGAAGCAAAAUCUAUAAUUGUGAAGUCUUGUGUGAUCAUUAGUGAAGUAUGUAUUGAUUACUGUAAAACUGGCAUUGAGUUUAGUUGCAUGGCUCCAGCAUGAGAGAAUGUACUGGCCAAGCACACAAGGCAUUUUGCUAAAAGUAGAUCUUAGGCCAAGGGACAUAAAUAGAUUUUGCUGACUGUAAUAUACUUUAAAGUAUGUCCUUAUGAUGAUAUGCUUUGUCCUUCAGUCAGUUUCUUGCCAAAGCAUUUCUUUACAUCCUGUUCCAGAAAGACUCAGAUACUAUAUUGCAUUCUGCAUAUUAUUACUGGUUUUCAAAAGGCAUCAGCAUGAUCUUUACCUUGAGGAACAGCUGUAAGUCAUGAGGAGACACAUCUGGAGGAAACAGGAGCUAGGCUAAUCUAGAAAAUUCGGUGCUUGGUCAAGAAUCUUGAAUGAGGUUGUUUUUAUGAGGCAACUGGUAUUCUAUGAUUUGCACUUUAUCAUCCAUAAACUUUGGUCAUGCACCAAAUUUUUUUGGCUUGUUAAGCCUCUAUUCUCCUGAUAUGUAUCCUUGUGAUUUUUCGUUGUUCUAAUAUUAAUUAAAAUGAAGCUGCUGCGUAUCUUUUAUAAAGAGUACUACAUUAUACAAAAUAAAAACAAGUAGUCUUUCUGGAACAAGAUUUAAAGAAAACUGUUUAUAUAGCAAUGGACACACUGCUGGACUAAGUGUGUGAACUCACUUUGAUUGACAUGAGAGAGAGCUAGAACACAAAAAGUGAAACUUGAGAGGGUAUGUAUACCAAGCAAUGUUUGAAAUGCACUGUGCUUCUGCUACCUUCACUCUCAGAAAACUGUCUCUACAUCUAGGUGCAAAAAACGUACAUCUAGGUGCAAAAAACGAAGACAAUUUACACCACUCCUAUAGUUUACUAGGUUUUGCUUGAGUACUACUUUGAAUAUCAAUGUUGUGUGACAGGUACAGUGCCCUCUGUGAACAUUUUCACUUAGUUGAAGAACACUGCAAUGUGGCAUGUCAAUGAAGUAGCCAGUCUGUAGAUCUUAAGAUUGCAUAAGACAUUGUGAGGAGGGUGAGGAGUGCUUCAAAGUGCUGUGUGUGGGUUGAAAAGGAUAAACUACUCUGACUGGCACUCAAAAGCCUAGGUUAAUGAAAGCAUUUCUCAAACCUGUAAAGAUCCUGACAGCUUUGCUCUGUAACCUCUGGAAGAUCUUGUCAGUUAUAUUUGUUUUAUGUGCCACGUCUUAUCAGAUUAGAAUAUGUGGUAUUAUUGGCCAUACAGAGCACCGUGUCUCAACCAAACAACGCUUGGUUGAGACAAGGUGCUGUGUGGCCAAUAAUACUACAUAUUCUAAUCUGAUAAGACGUGGCACAUAAAACAAAUAUAACUGACAAGAUCUUUCAGAGGUUACAGAGCAAAGCUGUCAGGAUCUUUACAGGUUUGAGAAAUGCUUUCAUUAACCUAGGCUUUUUUGAGUGCCAGUCAGAGUGGUUUAUCCUUUUCAACCUACACACAACACUUUUGAAGUACUCCUUCCUCACAAUGUCUUAUGCAAUCUUAAGAUCUACAGACUGGCUACUUCAUUGACAUGCCAUAUUAUAGUGUUCAACUGAGUGAAAAUGUUCAUAGAGGGAGGGCACUGUACCUGUCACACUCCACUAAAUAUUCAUCAAAAGGCAAAUCGUCUUAUUAAUAUAUACUGCACCUAGAUGUAGUAAAACAGCUUUCUGAAUGUUGGUAGGAAGGGUAAAUAAAGAUUUAGGACCAGGCUCAUGGACUAUUGUACUCUAAGAGGAUAUUUGUGGGUGUAUUAGCAUCAUCACAUGUGAUCUAAAGAACUCUCAACAACAAGAAUGUGUAGCACAAGCUGGCAACUUGCCACUUCUUGUUCUGAAAAAUUACUAAAUAGAAACAUUAUUUAAC
RNAcentral lists this long non-coding RNA (2422 nucleotides) under Portunus trituberculatus (swimming crab). RNAcentral's name for it is "uncharacterized LOC123506099". The record is from RNAcentral. Lineage: Eukaryota; Metazoa; Arthropoda; Malacostraca; Decapoda; Portunidae.